Lycium barbarum (goji berry) is the source of this 570-nucleotide long non-coding RNA. RefSeq lists it as uncharacterized. Lineage: Eukaryota; Viridiplantae; Streptophyta; Magnoliopsida; Solanales; Solanaceae. The transcript is spliced from 3 exons. The record is from RefSeq and is a predicted model, not a curated record.
ACAAAAAAGGAGAAGAGAGCAUGGCCAUGGCUGCUGCUCACGGCCAGCCAUGGCCAAGAAAAUUUUGUUAUUUUGUUGCUUUGAUUUAAUAUCAAGAUGAUUUGCAAGUUCAAGGAAGUAAUAGCAACAUUGGAUAUUGAAUCGAGGAAGAAGAAAUUGCGAAAUUGGAGCAAUUAAGAGUAGAAAUUCCUCCGAGAAAAUUUAGGCUAAAAGAGCGACAAGGCGAACGGGUUUGCGAAUAGUCGCUAACAGCCCCAGAUUGUUUGGCAGGUUAAGUAUACAGCUAGGAUGCUCUGACGUCUGCUGGGAUUGGCAAGUUCCACCUCAUUCUGGAGCUGUGCUGAGUCAUGUAUAGAUAUGUAUGAUUAUGGGUAUGUCAGGGCCCUGUCCUGACUCAUAAUGUCCAGUCCACUUCUUAGAGACUUCUGCAGACAGUGUCCUGUGGUAUGUUUGUUGAGAUGUCGACAAAGUGAUAUCAGUUGAGUCAUUUAUGGAUUUUAAAAGAGUAUGUAUUUCAGAUAAUUUAGAUUGGUCUAAAGUACUUAUUGAUUGAAAGUUUUCAUAAUCGUU